GCCCGUCACACCAUGGGAGUGGGUUGCUCCAGAAGUAGCUAGUCUAACCGCAAGGGGGACGGUUACCACGGAGUGAUUCAUGACUGGGGUGAAGUCGUAACAAGGUAGCCGUAGGGGAACCUGCGGCUGGAUCACCUCCUUAAUCGAAGAUCUCAGCUUCUUCAUAAGCUCCCACACGAAUUGCUUGAUUCACUGGUUAGACGAUUGGGUCUGUAGCUCAGUUGGUUAGAGCGCACCCCUGAUAAGGGUGAGGUCGGCAGUUCGAAUCUGCCCAGACCCACCAAUUGUUGGUGUGCUGCGUGAUCCGAUACGGGGCCAUAGCUCAGCUGGGAGAGCGCCUGCUUUGCACGCAGGAGGUCAGGAGUUCGAUCCUCCUUGGCUCCACCAUCCAAAACAAUCGUCGAAAGCUCAGAAAUGAAUGUUCGUGAAUGAACAUUGAUUUCUGGUCUUUGCACCAGAACUGUUCUUUAAAAAUUCGGGUAUGUGAUAGAAGUAAGACUGAAUGAUCUCUUUCACUGGUGAUCAUUCAAGUCAAGGUAAAAUUUGCGAGUUCAAGCGCGAAUUUUCGGCGAAUGUCGUCUUCACAGUAUAACCAGAUUGCUUGGGGUUAUAUGGUCAAGUGAAGAAGCGCAUACGGUGGAUGCCUUGGCCCCACAGGCG
This 660-nucleotide unclassified non-coding RNA is filed under the name Pseudomonas aeruginosa. RNAcentral describes it as "partial contains 16S ribosomal RNA, 16S-23S ribosomal RNA intergenic spacer, and 23S ribosomal RNA". The stretch from base 1 to 142 matches the Rfam family "Bacterial small subunit ribosomal RNA", at positions 1392 to 1533 of the family's 1533-position model. The record is from RNAcentral. Lineage: Bacteria; Pseudomonadati; Pseudomonadota; Gammaproteobacteria; Pseudomonadales; Pseudomonadaceae.